RNAcentral lists this ribosomal RNA (700 nucleotides) under Tremella lethariae. RNAcentral describes it as "partial large subunit ribosomal RNA". It matches the Rfam family "Eukaryotic large subunit ribosomal RNA", at positions 199 to 930 of the family's 3401-position model. Lineage: Eukaryota; Fungi; Basidiomycota; Tremellomycetes; Tremellales; Tremellaceae. The record is from RNAcentral.
GGUAUCAAAGAGGGUGACAAUCCCGUACUUGACGCGACGACCGGUGCACUGUGAUACGUUCUCUACGAGUCGAGUUGUUUGGGAAUGCAGCUCAAAAUGGGUGGUAAAUUCCAUCUAAAGCUAAAUAUUGGCGAGAGACCGAUAGCGAACAAGUACCGUGAGGGAAAGAUGAAAAGCAUGAAAGGGAAACGAUUGAAGUCAGUCGUGUCGGGAGGAUUCAGCCGGCUCUGCCGGUGUACUUCCUCCCGACGGGUCAACAUCAGUUUUGAUCGGCGGAUAAGGGCGGCGGGAAGGUAGCACUCUCGGGUGUGUUAUAGCCCGCUGUCGCAUACGUCGGUCGAGACUGAGGAAUGCAGCUCGCCUUCAUGGCCGGGGUUCGCCCACGUCCGAGCUUAGGAUGUUGACAUAAUGGCUUUAAACGACCCGUCUUGAAACACGGACCAAGGAGUCUAACAUAUCUGCGAGUGUUUGGGUGUCAAACCCGGACGCGUAAUGAAAGUGAACGUAGGAGGGAUCCGCAAGGAGCACCUUCGACCGAUCUGGAUCUUCUGUGAUGGAUUUGAGUAAGAGCAUAUAUGCUGGGACCCGAAAGAUGGUGAACUAUGCCUGAAUAGGGCGAAGCCAGGGGAAACUCUGGUGGAGGCUCGUAGCGAUUCUGACGUGCAAAUCGAUCGUCAAAUUUGGGUAUAGGGGCGAAAGA